Long non-coding RNA from Pantherophis guttatus, 2229 nucleotides. RefSeq lists it as uncharacterized. The record is from RefSeq and is a predicted model, not a curated record. NCBI's taxonomy places the organism in Eukaryota, Metazoa, Chordata, Lepidosauria, Squamata, Colubridae.
AAUUAAUCUACAUUUCCCCACUUAACCUAGAGGGCAGGAUAUGACCCCUCAAUCUCAAUAGGGGCUAGCCCACCACAAUUAAAAUAUUAAAAAGGUCACAUACUAGUCCAUUGCACAACAAAUCUGGACAUUUCAAUUACAAAACCAGGAAAACAUAAAAAUCCAUCUACUCACCAGUUGUCAGCUGUCCCAGAACUGAUGCUGAGUCACUUCGCUUCUGAAUAAAGCAGACCUCCUUUCUAGCAAUUGGUUUCGAUCUCUUUUACUUCUGCUAAGGCGACAUUUCUGCCGCUUGUUUCCUAACUGGAUGGACAAGCUUGGAAUUCAACUUCCAACAGAAUGCCAAGCCCAAAAUGUAUAAGUAGUUAUAAUGGUAUGCACUCCUAACUAAAUAGGUAAAAUGGUGGUGGUUUCCUUCUAACUUUUUCAUUUAGGAAAAUAAUAUUCUUUUUAAAGAAUAUGUUAAGAAUAUUAUUUUGCAAUAUUUUCUAAAAUCAAUAAUCAGGAGAAAGAAUAAUAUUGCUCUAAAUGUUGAGAAUACCAUAGAUGCUUGAAGUGUUAAGAAACAGACCUGGGAGAGCCAAAUUAAUAGUGCUAACCUAGCCUUACAUUAAAAUAUCUGGAAUUAUCAUUAAUAUAUACCCUUUGAAACCAGUAAUUGAUAAAAUCUAAUUUUAUGGUACAUUUGGGCAGUCCAUGUAUUUAAUCAAAGCAGAGUAUCACAUUUUCCAUUAGGACCAUAUUUUUUUUUCAGAUCAACUAACUAUAUAACUAUUAAUGAAAUGUCCAUGAAAAUUAAUCAUAAUCAAAUCUCACACGUAUAUUGUUAUGGGAUUAACACAAGAAUGUUCCUCCCACUCAGCCCUUUAUAAUGAGUUUAUAACAAUUUUGUCUUUCUAACUUGAUGAACUAAGAAUAUUAUACAAUAUAGAAAAAGCAAUAUUAUUCCAGCAAUAAAAAAAAUCAAUUUGCUAAUUAUUAGAUAUGCUCAUUUACUAACUUUUCUCAUUAAUCUUCUCUUAAUUUCCAUUAUCUUGGUUUACCUUUCAUCUCUUUCCCCAACAUUUGCACUCUUAACUGUUCAUUAUAGUACAAUUCAGUUCUGAUUAUUUUCUGAAAGCUGUCAAGGAGGGGACUAAUCUUUAAUGCAGAUGAUUUGAUAAUUUUUUCCUUCCCAUAUAUUUAAUGGGGCUGAAAAGAGUCCUAAAAAUCCUUAUCUCCUACUGUUCAAAUCAUCAUGAAAUCAUCAUGAAAUGAAGACAAUGGCUUUUGCGAGAAGGAUUCAAAUCUACACAUGGUUAAUGUUUGGUCCACUUAAUAGAUGAAGUUAAAAUCUUAAAUAUCUAGACUGUCUUUUUCCGCUAUAGGUUCCUGGCGAGCAAAUAUAGAAUGUGCCCUGAGUAGUUGGUCAGCCAAUCUUUUUUCUUUUUUUUUUUACACAGCAGAAGCCCUAUUGUACCAUUUGCUUACAAAUUGUCAGACAAUAGUUAUGACAAUUGGUUUAUGGUUUCCAAGUGUGCAUACAGUAUAUGGAUUUAAGAACAUGAAACUUACAAAGGAUGCUGUACAGGAUCGUGUAAGCUUCUGAUGGAGAUUGUGUUUGGCCUUGACUUUACUGUGCCUUUGGAACUGCUUCUUGCCUGGGAUCUUGUUUCUUGCCUUGAGGACAGCCCUUGUCUUGUGUCUGGACUCUACCUUGUGGAUUGGACUUGGAACCCUGGACCUUGCCCUUUUAAAUCCUUCAGAAGACUUCAAUAGUAUUUUGAUGUGUGAUUUUUCCCGCCUGCAAAACUGAAGGAGGAGAGCUGCUGCUGAUUUCAAUCAAACAUUAAGAAUGAAAUAACGUGGCAAAAAUAUAAGCCAAGUACUGGAAAGCAUUUUGAAAAAGAUGUCCUUUUCCUUCAGGUGGUUGACAUGUCAAGAUUGAACCACUUUGCUUCUUUCAAACCCUAUUCAACUUGCCAAUAAACUGGAGGGAGGAAAGAAUGGAAUGCCGAGAAAUUAUGCACAGAUCAUGAGAGCCUGGAAACCAUCACGAUCAUCGCUGCAUGUGCUUGAGAAGGAGGUGGACUGUUCCCAUAGCAAAAGGACAUUUCAUAAUCAGGACUAGGGAGAAAGGGAAGCUAUUGUUUAACUAGGUAAACAUUUGCACCGGAAAACCAAAGCUGAUUUUGAUUCUUCAGUACCAAAAUGAGAUAUCCAAUAAAGUUUUAUUUUUGGGAAUUCAAA